This 459-nucleotide ribosomal RNA is filed under the name uncultured bacterium. RNAcentral describes it as "bacterial SSU rRNA". It matches the Rfam family "Bacterial small subunit ribosomal RNA", at positions 28 to 502 of the family's 1533-position model. The record is from RNAcentral.
GACGAACGCUGGCGGCGUGCCUAACACAUGCAAGUCGAACGAGAUCCAUGGGAGCUUGCUCCCGGAAGAUCUAGUGGCGAACGGGUGAGUAACACGUGAGAAACCUGCCCUGGAGUGGGGAAUAACUCGGGGAAACUCGAGCUAAUACCGCAUACCCUCGGAUGGUCGCAUGGCCGACCGAGGAAAGAUUUAUCGCUCUAGGGAGGUCUCGCGGCCUAUCAGCUAGUUGGUGGGUAACGCCUACCAAGGCAACGACGGGUAGCUGGUUUGAGAGAACGAUCAGCCACACUGGGACUGAGACACGGCCCAGACUCCUACGGGAGGCAGCAGUGGGGAAUCUUGCGCAAUGGGCGAAAGCCUGACGCAGCAACGCCGCGUGCGGGAUGACGGCCUUCGUGGUUGUAAACCGCUUUCAGCAGGACGAAAUGACGGUACCUGCAGAAGAAGCCCCGGCUAACU